RNAcentral lists this ribosomal RNA (253 nucleotides) under uncultured bacterium. RNAcentral's name for it is "partial 16S ribosomal RNA". It matches the Rfam family "Bacterial small subunit ribosomal RNA", at positions 524 to 776 of the family's 1533-position model. The record is from RNAcentral.
UACAGAGGGUGCGAGCGUUAAUCGGAAUUACUGGGCGUAAAGCGCGCGUAGGCGGCUUUGCAAGACAGAUGUGAAAUCCCCGGGCUUAACCUGGGAACUGCAUUUGUGACUGCAUGGCUAGAGUGCGGCAGAGGGGGAUGGAAUUCCGCGUGUAGCAGUGAAAUGCGUAGAUAUGCGGAGGAACACCGAUGGCGAAGGCAAUCCCCUGGGCCUGCACUGACGCUCAUGCACGAAAGCGUGGGGAGCAAACAGG